GAUGAACGCUGGCGGCGUGCCUAAUACAUGCAAGUCGAGCGAACAGACGAGGAGCUUGCUCCUCUGACGUUAGCGGCGGACGGGUGAGUAACACGUGGAUAACCUACCUAUAAGACUGGGAUAACUUCGGGAAACCGGAGCUAAUACCGGAUAAUAUAUUGAACCGCAUGGUUCAAUAGUGAAAGACGGUUUUGCUGUCACUUAUAGAUGGAUCCGCGCCGCAUUAGCUAGUUGGUAAGGUAACGGCUUACCAAGGCGACGAUGCGUAGCCGACCUGAGAGGGGGAUCCGCCACACCGGAACCUAGGACCCGUCCAGAAUCCCAAGGGAAGCAAGCAGAGGGAAACUUCCGGAAAUGGGCGAAAGCCUGCGGGAGAAACGCGGCGGGAGGAAUGAGGGCCUUCGGUUGGUAAACCUUGGUUAUAAGGGAAAAAAAAAUGUGAAAGUAAUUAUGCCCGUCUGGAGGGUACCUAAUCAGAAAGCCACGCCUACUACGUG
Molecule: ribosomal RNA, 497 nt
Filed under: uncultured bacterium
Lineage: Bacteria
Description: partial 16S ribosomal RNA
Rfam family: Bacterial small subunit ribosomal RNA
Source: RNAcentral